This 465-nucleotide ribosomal RNA is filed under the name uncultured bacterium. RNAcentral's name for it is "partial 16S ribosomal RNA". It matches the Rfam family "Bacterial small subunit ribosomal RNA", at positions 28 to 507 of the family's 1533-position model. The record is from RNAcentral.
GACGAACGCUGGCGGCGUGCUUAACACAUGCAAGUCGUACGGUAAGGCCCUUUCGGGGGUACACGAGUAGCGAACGGGUGAGUAACACGUGAGUAACCUGCCCACAACUUUGGGAUAACGCUAGGAAACUGGUGCUAAUACUGGAUAUGUGCUCCUGCUGCAUGGUGGGGGUUGGAAAGCUCCGGCGGUUGUGGAUGGACUCGCGGCCUAUCAGCUUGUUGGUGGGGUAGUGGCCUACCAAGGCGGCGACGGGUAGCCGGCCUGAGAGGGUGACCGGCCACAUUGGGACUGAGAUACGGCCCAGACUCCUACGGGAGGCAGCAGUGGGGAAUAUUGCACAAUGGGCGCAAGCCUGAUGCAGCAACGCCGCGUGCGGGAUGACGGACUUCGGGUUGUAAACCGCUUUCAGCAGGGACGAAGCUUUUUGUGUCGGUACCUGCAGAAGAAGCACCGGCUAACUACGUG